GACGAACGCUGGCGGCGUGCUUAACACAUGCAAGUCGAACGGAAAGGCCCUGCUUUUGUGGGGUGCUCGAGUGGCGAACGGGUGAGUAACACGUGAGUAACCUGCCCUUGACUUUGGGAUAACUUCAGGAAACUGGGGCUAAUACCGGAUAGGAGCUCCUGCUGCAUGGUGGGGGUUGGAAAGUUUCGGCGGUUGGGGAUGGACUCGCGGCUUAUGAGCUUGUUGGUGGGGUAGUGGCUUACCAAGGCUUUGACGGGUAGCCGGCCUGGGAGGGUGACCGGCCACAUUGGGACUGAGAUACGGCCCAGUCUCCUACGGUAGGCAGCAGUGGGGAAUAUUGCACAAUGGGCGGAAGCCUGAUGCAGCAACGCCGCGUGCGGGAUGACGGCCUUCGGGUUGUAAACCGCUUUCGCCUGUGACGAAGCGUGAGUGACGGUAAUGGGUAAAGAAGCACCGGCUAACUACGUG
This 468-nucleotide ribosomal RNA is filed under the name uncultured bacterium. RNAcentral's name for it is "partial 16S ribosomal RNA". It matches the Rfam family "Bacterial small subunit ribosomal RNA", at positions 28 to 507 of the family's 1533-position model. The record is from RNAcentral.